GACGAACGCUGGCGGCGUGCUUAACACAUGCAAGUCGAACGGAAAGGCCCUGCUUUUGUGGGGUGCUCGAGUGGCGAACGGGUGAGUAACACGUGAGUAACCUGCCCUUGACUUUGGGAUAACUUCAGGAAACUGGGGCUAAUACCGGAUAGGAGCUCCUGCUGCAUGGUGGGGGUUGGAAAGUUUCGGCGGUUGGGGAUGGACUCGCGGCUUAUCAGCUUGUUGGUGGGGUAGUGGCUUACCAAGGCUUUGACGGGUAGCCGGCCUGAGAAGGUGACCGGCCACAUUGGGACUGAGAUACGGCCCAGACUCCUACGAGAGGCAGCAGUGGGGAAUAUUGCACAAUGGGCGGAAGCCUGAUGCAGCAACGCCGCGUGCGGGAUGACGGCCUUCGGGUUGUAAACCGCUUUCGCCUGUGACGAAGCGUGAGUGACGGUAAUGGGUAAAGAAGCACCGGCUAACUACGUG
This 468-nucleotide ribosomal RNA is filed under the name uncultured bacterium. Its description in RNAcentral is "partial 16S ribosomal RNA". It matches the Rfam family "Bacterial small subunit ribosomal RNA", at positions 28 to 507 of the family's 1533-position model. The record is from RNAcentral.